RNAcentral lists this ribosomal RNA (529 nucleotides) under uncultured bacterium. RNAcentral describes it as "bacterial SSU rRNA". It matches the Rfam family "Bacterial small subunit ribosomal RNA", at positions 373 to 893 of the family's 1533-position model. The record is from RNAcentral.
GGGCGCAAGCCUGAUCCAGCCAUGCCGCGUGCGGGACGAAGGCCUUCGGGUUGUAAACCGCUUUCAGCCGGAAGAAAUCGCCUAAGGCUAAUAUCCUUGGUGGAUGUACGGUACCGGAAGAAGAAGCACCGGCUAACUACGUGCCAGCAGCCGCGGUAAUACGUAGGGUGCGAGCGUUAAUCGGAAUUACUGGGCGUAAAGGGUGCGCAGGCGGUUUUGCAAGCCAGACGUGAAAUCCCCGGGCUUAACCUGGGAACUGCGUUUGGAACUGCAAGACUAGAGUGUGUCAGAGGGAGGUGGAAUUCCACGUGUAGCAGUGAAAUGCGUAGAUAUGUGGACGGAACACCGAUGGCGAAGGCAGCCUCCUGGGAUAACACUGACGCUCAUGCACGAAAGCGUGGGGAGCAAAACAGGAUUAGAUACCCUGGUAGUCCACGCCUAAACGAUGUCAACUGGCUGUUGGGAGAGAAAUCUUUCAGUAGCGAAGCUAACGCGUGAAGUUGACCGCCUGGGGAGUACGGCCGCAAGG